GCCUAUGAAGGACGUGGCUGGCUGCGUGAAGCCGCGGGGAGUUGCCGACCGAGCGUUGAUCCGCGGAUGUCCGAAUGGGGAAACCCGGCACCUGUGAUGGGGUGUCACCCUGGUCUGAAUUCAUAGGGCCAGUGGAGGGUACCGAGGGAACUGAAACAUCUCAGUACCUCGAGGAGAAGAAAGCGAUUGCGACUCCCUGAGUAGCGGCGAGCGAAACGGGAAG
RNAcentral lists this ribosomal RNA (223 nucleotides) under Craspedostauros australis. Its description in RNAcentral is "partial Bacterial large subunit ribosomal RNA". It matches the Rfam family "Bacterial large subunit ribosomal RNA", at positions 45 to 265 of the family's 2925-position model. Lineage: Eukaryota; Bacillariophyta; Bacillariophyceae; Mastogloiales; Achnanthaceae. The record is from RNAcentral.